Molecule: long non-coding RNA, 581 nt
Organism: Raphanus sativus (radish)
Lineage: Eukaryota; Viridiplantae; Streptophyta; Magnoliopsida; Brassicales; Brassicaceae
Exons: 3
Source: RefSeq, a predicted model, not a curated record
CGUGAUUUUCCCCAAAAUUAGUAAACAGUGUCAUUUUUAUUUUUUCUCCAUCUCUCUUGGUAAGACCUUGGUAGCUCCAAAUCGAGAGAAAGAGUGAAGAGUUCAAUAAACUUACUCUUUUCCAUGAGCUUGAUCGCUGACUUGCCUUCACACUUCCGAUGAGCAUGGACUCGCGAACACUAUAAAAAUAGCAGCUCUGGAUGUAGAAAUUAAUAUAUGGAAGUGGAGAAUAAAGGACAUUCAACAACAAGAUCUAAGUGUCACUCAACCUGAUAUAUCCUUUAGACAAGAGCUAGACGAGCUCCACAAGCUAGAAGUCCUCUACAAGCUAGACAUCCUAAAGAAAACCUACAAGCUUUACAUCAGUACGGGUAGAUCCAGAUGGUAAAAAAUGGCUACAUGCCACUAUGGUGGUAUAAAGUUGGAGAUAGAUAAGAGUUAUGGAACGUCAAUAUUGAUACCACUUGCACAUUUGUCCAGAAAAGUCAGAAAAUGAAGAUAGAUAUGCAUAUGAUCACAAAGUUGAUUGGGAAUAAUUUCUUAGAUCAUAACUUAUCAUAGCUCUUGGGGUUAAAAACGGU